GGGGUUGUGGCUCAGAGGUAGAGCACUCACCUAGCCUGUGUGAUGCCCUGGGUUCGAUCCUCAGCACCACA
This 71-nucleotide transfer RNA is filed under the name Marmota monax (woodchuck). Its description in RNAcentral is "tRNA.Ala". It matches the Rfam family "tRNA". From Rfam's summary of the family: Transfer RNA (tRNA) molecules are approximately 80 nucleotides in length. Their secondary structure includes four short double-helical elements and three loops (D, anti-codon, and T loops). Further hydrogen bonds mediate the characteristic L-shaped molecular structure. tRNAs have two regions of fundamental functional importance: the anti-codon, which is responsible for specific mRNA codon recognition, and the 3' end, to which the tRNAs corresponding amino acid is attached (by aminoacyl-tRNA synthetases). tRNAs cope with the degeneracy of the genetic code in two manners: having more than one tRNA (with a specific anti-codon) for a particular amino acid; and 'wobble' base-pairing, i.e. permitting non-standard base-pairing at the 3rd anti-codon position. Lineage: Eukaryota; Metazoa; Chordata; Mammalia; Rodentia; Sciuridae. The record is from RNAcentral.